Molecule: long non-coding RNA, 667 nt
Organism: Sarcophilus harrisii (Tasmanian devil)
Lineage: Eukaryota; Metazoa; Chordata; Mammalia; Dasyuromorphia; Dasyuridae
Exons: 3
Source: RefSeq, a predicted model, not a curated record
UGUUUAUUUCCUACAAAUUGCAGAACAUCUGGAGCUCAGCUUCUCCCAUAGAUCUACCAUUGCUCCAUUCUGAGAUACUAAAAGAGAUGAUUUCUCAUACCUAUGAUGUGAAACAAUCCGGGAUGAAAGGAAGUGAAAGUUUUGAAGGUCACAGCCUGGAUGAAAUAGCCUGGUCAGAUUUGAAAGUGAGAGGGGAAAUGGAGGCUGCUGUAUCAAGACAGACUAAAACUAGGAUGUUUUCUUUAAUUGGAAAAAAGACACAGACUAAGAAGGAAUAAAGAUCACUCAUUCAUUCAUCUAAAAACCAUUUCUUAAGUACCUAGUAGAUGCCUAGUACUGUCCUGGCUGCUACAGAUACAAGAACAAAAAAAUACAGGCUUUAUUCUUAAGGAAUUUACAUUUUUGGGGUAGAAGAAAACACGUGCAGAAAAUUUUAAAAUGCAUAAUAUAAUCACAGUAAAGAAUGAAGGGAAUAGAGAAGGUGAACACAACAAUAAAAACUAGCACUAUUGGCUCUUGCAUCAACACACUAAUAAUCUCUGUUACCACCACACAGGUGCACAUACAUCCAUGAGCCUUGAAAGAAGUCUUCAUAGAUGAUUAGAGAUGGAAUGGAUUUAGGGUCCCAUCUAGCCCAGUCUCCUCAUUUUACAGAAUGGAAAGCAAA